Molecule: ribosomal RNA, 355 nt
Filed under: uncultured Erysipelothrix sp.
Lineage: Bacteria; Bacillati; Bacillota; Erysipelotrichia; Erysipelotrichales; Erysipelotrichaceae
Description: bacterial SSU rRNA
Rfam family: Bacterial small subunit ribosomal RNA
Source: RNAcentral
AUCCGGGAUACAGUGGUGCAUGGUUGUCGUCAGCUCGUGUCGUGAGAUGUUGGGUUAAGUCCCGCAACGAGCGCAACCCUUGUCUUUAGCUACCAUCAUUCAGUUGGGGACUCUAGAGAGACUGCCGGUGAUAAACCGGAGGAAGGUGGGGAUGACGUCAAAUCAUCAUGCCCCUUAUGGCCUGGGCUACAAACGUAAUACAAUGGCGUAUACAAAGGGAUGCGAAAGGGCGACCUGGAGCAAAACUCACAAAGUACGUCUCAGUUCAGAUUGGAGUCUGCAACUCGACUCCAUGAAGGCGGAAUCGCUAGUAAUCGCGGAUCAGCAUGCCGCGGUGAAUACGUUCUCGGGGUUU